This 496-nucleotide ribosomal RNA is filed under the name uncultured bacterium. RNAcentral describes it as "partial 16S ribosomal RNA". It matches the Rfam family "Bacterial small subunit ribosomal RNA", at positions 28 to 507 of the family's 1533-position model. The record is from RNAcentral.
GAUGAACGCUGGCGGCGUGCCUAAUACAUGCAAGUCGAGCGAACAGACGAGGAGCUUGCUCCUCUGACGUUAGCGGCGGACGGGUGAGUAACACGUGGAUACCUACCUAUAAGACUGGGAUAACUUCGGGAAACCGGAGCUAAUACCGGAUAAUAUAUUGAACCGCAUGGUUCAAUAGUGAAAGACGGUUUUGCUGUCACUUAUAGAUGGAUCCGCGCCGCAUUAGCUAGUUGGUAAGGUAACGGCUUACCAAGGCAACGAUGCGUAGCCGAUCUGAGGGGGUGAUCGGCCACACUGGAACUGAGACACGGUCCAGACUCCUACGGGAGGCAGCAGUAGGGAAUCUUCCGCAAUGGGCGAAAGCCUGACGGAGCAACGCCGCGUGAGUGAUGAAGGUCUUCGGAUCGUAAAACUCUGUUAUUAGGGAAGAACAAAUGUGUAAGUAACUAUGCACGUCUUGACGGUACCUAAUCAGAAAGCCACGGCUAACUACGUG